ACCCCUACCCCUAGCUUUUAAAUUAAACUUUAUCUUUAAAAAAAAAAAAAACUUUAAAUACUCCCGUGGUUUCGCACUUUCUCACUUUAGUACCUGCGGUUUCAAGUGUAUCAACUUAGUACCCUGUGGUUCACGUUAGUACCUGUAGUUUUAAUUUUCUCUUUUUAUUAUCUAUUUCGGGGUAUAUAAUUUUUUUUUUAUUAUCUAUUUCGGGGUAUAUAAUUUUUUUUUUUUUAGAGAUAGGUAGCACGCUACCCGCUUCGUUUAUUUCAUUUAGAAAUAAACUUAGCUGGAAAUGUGAAUCAAGUCAUCAACUAGGAUUCGAACUUGGGUCUUAAGUACCAACCACCAAGCCCUUUGCCACUUGCUCUAGGGACGGUCGGUUUUCAGGGUAUAUAAUUUAACGAAAUAUUAGACCACGGGGUACUAAAGUGAGAAGGUGCGAAAGCAUUGAGUACUAACUUGAUACACUUGAAAUCACAGGGUACUAAAGUGAGAAGGUGCGAAACCACAUGGUACUAACUUAAUACACUUCAAACCGCGAAACCAUAGAGGGUUAUUUGAAGCUUCCCAAAAAAAAAAAAUUAAGGCCUCGUGUUUGAGAUUGUGGAAAAAUUACUUUACGUGUAGUGAGAAAGUACGAUAAAAAAAUAUUCUAUUUAUUUUCGCACAUAAUAUUAUAUUUCAUAUAGAUACAUUAACUCCGUUUUACCUAAUAAGUCAGAUAAAUUUCAAUACAAAACUAAAUCUUACUAUUACAC
Molecule: long non-coding RNA, 761 nt
Filed under: Ananas comosus (pineapple)
Lineage: Eukaryota; Viridiplantae; Streptophyta; Magnoliopsida; Poales; Bromeliaceae
Description: long non-coding RNA (ACOM_LNC019286)
Source: RNAcentral